GGGGAACUAGCUCAGUUGGGAGAGCGCCUGCCUUGCACGCAGGAGGUCAGGGGUUCGAAUCCCCUGUUCUCCA
RNAcentral lists this transfer RNA (73 nucleotides) under Actinomycetota bacterium. RNAcentral's name for it is "Actinobacteria bacterium (sediment metagenome) tRNA-Ala". It matches the Rfam family "tRNA". Rfam says of the family: Transfer RNA (tRNA) molecules are approximately 80 nucleotides in length. Their secondary structure includes four short double-helical elements and three loops (D, anti-codon, and T loops). Further hydrogen bonds mediate the characteristic L-shaped molecular structure. tRNAs have two regions of fundamental functional importance: the anti-codon, which is responsible for specific mRNA codon recognition, and the 3' end, to which the tRNAs corresponding amino acid is attached (by aminoacyl-tRNA synthetases). tRNAs cope with the degeneracy of the genetic code in two manners: having more than one tRNA (with a specific anti-codon) for a particular amino acid; and 'wobble' base-pairing, i.e. permitting non-standard base-pairing at the 3rd anti-codon position. The record is from RNAcentral. Lineage: Bacteria; Bacillati; Actinomycetota.